UUGCUUUCUAUGUUAAAUUCUGCAAUUUCAAGCAUUUAUUGCUACUUUGUCUUAAGUUCAAAUAAAGUGGCAGUUAUUUCAUGUCAAAACUGUACCUUAUUCUGAUUUGUGCUGAAAGAAUCAACAUACCUUUAAUUGCAUAUUAGAUCGUACUGGUUCCCCAAAGUUUGAUAGUACAAAAACCGGAACUUCUGAUCUGAAC
Molecule: long non-coding RNA, 202 nt
Filed under: Mytilus galloprovincialis (Mediterranean mussel)
Lineage: Eukaryota; Metazoa; Mollusca; Bivalvia; Mytilida; Mytilidae
Source: RNAcentral